Molecule: long non-coding RNA, 1230 nt
Filed under: Monodelphis domestica (gray short-tailed opossum)
Lineage: Eukaryota; Metazoa; Chordata; Mammalia; Didelphimorphia; Didelphidae
Description: lncRNA (ENSMODG00000044771.1)
Source: RNAcentral
UGAGGCUGGACUUGAACUUGGGAAAAUGAGUCUUCCUGACUCUGUGAAUUUUAGAUUUACUCCACCCUGCUUAGUCUAGCAAUCAGGAAUGUAUACACCCCUACUUAAGGAUUAAGUGUUGAGAAGGAUGGCCUAUGACAGGCAUAUGCUAGCAAAGUGACAAAUAAGAAACAACUGACAGACCUUCUGGGAUGCCCUAAGUCAAGCUUAAGUUUGACUUAAGCUAAGGACAAGUUAAGCUACUUGUCCAAGGUCACUCAGCUACUACGUGUCCAAAGCUGGAUUUGAAUUUAGGUCUUCCUGAUUCUAGUCUGGAGUUCUAUAUCCUGUGCCACCAAUGAGAGAAACAGCAAGAUAUAGUAUAUUAAGACUGUUGUACCUGGAGUUUUGAGAGAGCUGGGUUCAAAUCCCUCUGUUGAUACUGGUGUAAUCACAGGCCAGCCAAUUCUCUGAGCUUCAGUGUCUUCAUCUAUGUUAUGGGGAUAACUAUUCCUGGAAAACCUACUGUAAAGAGUUGUUGUGAGGGUCAUGUGAAAUAAUGUAUACAAAUAGCAAACUUUGACAGUCUAAAUUAAGGUCAGCAAUUAUUUUUGUUCUUUGGAAUGCCUUCCCUCUCAUCUCCUGUGCCUUAAUGAUAUAACAGCCUGCAUUUAUAUUGUACCUUAAAGCUGACAAAUCACUUUCCUAGCUUUGGAUCUUUGAGUUAUGCUAGCAAAUGUAAUUAUUUCCUAAAUGUAAUUUUUUUCUCAAUGAAAUGAGAAGAUAGAAUGAUGAACUUCAGGUCAUGUUGUAGGAAAUUGUAGUGGUAGAAUUUGAACUCUCAUCUUGCAGAUUUUUUGUUAUUCAGACUCUUUCCAGGACACUGAGAUCUCAAGGUCCAGCCUCAUGUCUUAAUUCCAGUAAACCUUCUUUCAGCUAGUUAGUCAAAUAACCAGCCAACCAACCAAGAAGCAUUUAUUAAGCACUGUUUAUUAAGUCACUGUUCCAGGAACUGAGGAUAUAGACAAAACUUAAGCAGCCUCUGUGUUCCUCCUGGAGCUGGGACUGGAGGAGACAACAGAAUAAAGGUAAAGAAAGAGGAGCCUAGGUGGAAAGAGACCUGGACUAGAAAUCCAAAGAAGCAAUUUUGCUACUAAAUUGCAGUGUGACCUUAGAAUCUCCUCCUGACUGGGAUUAAGAACCAGGGAAUGUGAAGAAAGAACCCAUGCUCUUGAGUGUUCUGUGGGUCCC